RNAcentral lists this ribosomal RNA (466 nucleotides) under uncultured bacterium. RNAcentral's name for it is "partial 16S ribosomal RNA". The stretch from base 20 to 332 matches the Rfam family "Bacterial small subunit ribosomal RNA", at positions 47 to 358 of the family's 1533-position model. The record is from RNAcentral.
GACGAACGCUGGCGGCGUGCUUAACACAUGCAAGUCGAACGGAAAGGCCCUGCUUUUGUGGGGUGCUCGAGUGGCGAACGGGUGAGUAACACGUGAGUAACCUGCCCUUGACUUUGGGAUAACUUCAGGAAACUGGGGCUAAUACCGGAUAGGAGCUCCUGCUGCAUGGUGGGGGUUGGAAAGUUUCGGCGGUUGGGGAUGGACUCGCGGCUUAUCAGCUUGUUGGUGGGGUAGUGGCUUACCAAGGCUUUGACGGGUAGCCGGCCUGAGAGGGUGACCGGCGACUUGGAGGGUGAGAAGGGGGGAAGGGGUCCCCGGGGGGAAGGGGGGGGGAAUAGUGCAAAGGGGGGGAGGGGGGGAGGGAGAGGCGGCGGGUGCGGGAUGGGGGGCUGGGGGGUGAAAAACGGUUGCGGGUGGGAGGAAGGGUGAGGGGGGGAAAGGGGUAAAGAACAACGGGGAAACGAGG